UACGGGGGGGGCAAGCGUUGUUCGGAAUUACUGGGCGUAAAGGGCUCGUAGGUGGCCAACUAAGUCGGAUGUGAAAUCCCCAGGCUUAACCUGGGAACUGCAUCCGAUACUGGAUGGCUUGAAUUCGGGAGAGGGAUGCAGAAUUCCAGGUGUAGCGGUGAAAUGCGUAGAUAUCUGGAGGAAUACCGGUGGCGAAGGCGGCAUCCUGGACCGAGAUUGACGCUGAUGAGCGAAAGCUAGGGGAGCAAACGGG
Molecule: ribosomal RNA, 253 nt
Filed under: uncultured bacterium
Lineage: Bacteria
Description: partial 16S ribosomal RNA
Rfam family: Bacterial small subunit ribosomal RNA
Source: RNAcentral